RNAcentral lists this transfer RNA (77 nucleotides) under Candidatus Peribacteria bacterium RIFCSPHIGHO2_01_FULL_54_22. RNAcentral describes it as "tRNA-Pro". It matches the Rfam family "tRNA". From Rfam's summary of the family: Transfer RNA (tRNA) molecules are approximately 80 nucleotides in length. Their secondary structure includes four short double-helical elements and three loops (D, anti-codon, and T loops). RNAcentral also lists the same sequence under 4 other names. The record is from RNAcentral. Lineage: Bacteria; Candidatus Peregrinibacteriota; Candidatus Peribacteria.
CGGGGCGUAGCUCAGUUGGCUAGAGCGCCUGGUUUGGGACCAGGAGGCCGAAGGUUCAAGUCCUUUCGCCCCGACCA